RNAcentral lists this long non-coding RNA (2192 nucleotides) under Chrysolophus pictus (golden pheasant). Its description in RNAcentral is "lncRNA (ENSCPIG00010014714.1)". Lineage: Eukaryota; Metazoa; Chordata; Aves; Galliformes; Phasianidae. The record is from RNAcentral.
CUGAAGGGGGGGGGGGGGGUUAUUUGGGGUCAUUCCCCCCCCCACCAUUGUAACUACGUGGAUGCUGAGUGUGCAAAAGGUUCGUGCACGUUGGUGCUGGGUGUGCAAGAGAUCCGUGCGCGCGGGAGGUCAAACGCGUUGGCUGCGGGUGUGCAAAAGGCUUUGUGCACGUGGGUGCUGAGCGUGCAAGGGGAUCAGUGCACGUGGGAGGCCCUGCACGUCGGUGCUGGGUGUGCAAGGGGUCUGUGCACAAGAGGUCGUGUUGAGUGGUGCUGGGUGUGCAAGGGGUCUGUGCACGAGGGUCGUGUUGACUGGUGCUGGGUGUGCAAGGAUCUUGCACACGUGGGAGGCCAGUUACACGAGGGCUGCGUGUGCAGGGAGGUUGUGCACAAGAACUUGUGCAGGCUGGUCUCAGGGAGCUUGUUUGCACUAGGGCUGGGUGUGCAAGGAGGUUGUGCACGUGGGAGGCCAGGCACACCAAUAUUGGGCAUGCAAGGAAGCAGUGCACAAGAGGUCGUGCUCACUGUGCACACUGUUGCUGGGUGUGCAAGGAGCUCACGCAUGUGGGAGGUUGAGAAUGCUGGUGAUGAGUGUGCAAGGCAGUCUGUGCACAAGAGCUCACGCACAGUGGUGCUGGGUGUGCGAGGAGGUUGUGCACAUUGGUGGUAGGUGUGCAAGGGAUCUGUGCACGUGGGAAGUCGCACAAUCUGGUGCCAGGGAGGCUGUGCACACCAGUGCUGGGUGUGCAAGGCAGUCUGUGUGCACAAGAGCUCACGCACAGUGGUGCUGGGUGUGCAAGGAGCUUGUGCACACUGGCGGUAGGUGUGCAAGGGAUCUGUGCACGUGGGAAGUCACACAGUCUGGAUCCAGGCAGGCCGUGCACACCGUGCUGCGCGUGCAGGACGGUAUUGCACGUGGGCAGCCUCGCACACUCGUGUGCACAUCACUCAAUGCGUGGCCACGCAGGGCGGCUGCCCCCACCAGAAGGUUGUGCACACUGGUGGUAGGUGUGCAAGGGAUCUGUGCACGUGGGAAGUCGCACAAUCUGGUGCCAGGGAGGCUGUGCACACCAGUGCUGGGUGUGCAAGGCAGUCUGUGUGCACAAGAACUGGUGAUGGGGGUGCAAGGUAAUCUGUGGGCACAAGAGCUCACACACAGUGCUGCAGGGCGUGCAAGGAGUUUGUGCUCGUGAGAAGUCACACAGUCUGAAUCCAGGCAAGGCCGUGCACACCGUGCUGCGCGUGCAAGACGGUAUUGCACGUGGGCAGCCUCGCACACUCGUGUGCACAUCACUCAAUGCAGGCCGUGCACACCGUGCUGCGCGUGCAAGACGGUAUUGCACGUGGGCAGCCUCGCACACUCGUGUGCACAUCACUCAAUGCGUGGCCACGCAGGGCGGCUGCCCCCACCACAAGUCGUGCGCUCUGGUGACCUCACGUAAAUCAAUUGUGAGCGUGCAAGGGCGUCCCUCUACGCGAGUGUGCGCGCGCGUGUGUGUGCGUGUGAGCUGGGGGGGGGCCUUGGGGGUCACCCUUCCCCCCUCCUGACCUUCUCCCCCCCCCACAACCCCCAGGAGCGCAGCUUUGGGCGCGCGUGUGUGUGCGUGGGGGCUGGGGGGGGGGCUUGGGGGUCACACUUCCCCCCUCCUGACCUUCUCCCCCCCCCACAACCCCUAGGAGUGCAGCGCACUGGGGGACAUGCCCGGCUCCUUCGUGCCCACCGUGACGGCCAUCACCAGCAGCCAGGACCUGCAGUGGUUGGUGCAGCCCACCCUCAUCUCUUCGGUGGCCCAAACUCAACCCCCCCAACCUCAAUCUGGGGGUCCUAUGGCUCAUCCACCACCACCUCCUCCACCUCCCACCGGUCCCGGUGCUCCUGUAGAUCCUUAUGACCUUCCAGGACCCAGUUAUUCUACCGCUGGGAUGGGGGGGUUUCCCUCCGCCGCCGCCCCCCCUCCUGCCAGAGCCACCAGGGCACGAGCGCGACGCAGCCGUGAUGAGACGGUGAGUGGGGGGGAUGGACCCCAAAUCUGGACCCCCAAAACCUGGGCAUGGGACCCCAAAACCUGGGCGUGGGACCCCAACGCUUGUUUCCAUCCUGGCACCCUUCACCCCCAACAUGAGGACCCGUGGCCCUGCCCUGUGUCCCCAAAACAGGGCACUUGUCCCCAGUUUGGGGACAUUUCCCAUCCC